GACGAACGCUGGCGGCGUGCUUAACACAUGCAAGUCGAGCGGGGUCCAUCCGGUGGCAACACCGGUGAAGACCUAGCGGCGAACGGGUGAGUUACACGUGAGCAACCUGCCCCGAAGUUCGGGAUAACACCGGGAAACCGGUGCUAAUACCGGAUACCCCCAUUUGGUCGCAUGGACGAAUGAGGAAAGAUUUAUCGCGUUCGGGAGGGGCUCGCGGGCUAUCAGCUUGUUGGUGGGGUAAGUGCCUACCAAGGCGACGACGGCUAGCUGGUCUGAGAGGACGACCAGCCACACUGGGACUGAGACACGGCCCAGACUCCUACGGGAGGCAGCAGUGGGGAAUCUUGCGCAAUGGGCGAAAGCCUGACGCAGCAACGCCGCGUGGGGAUGAAU
RNAcentral lists this ribosomal RNA (393 nucleotides) under uncultured bacterium. Its description in RNAcentral is "bacterial SSU rRNA". It matches the Rfam family "Bacterial small subunit ribosomal RNA", at positions 28 to 413 of the family's 1533-position model. The record is from RNAcentral.